Molecule: long non-coding RNA, 3967 nt
Organism: Cercocebus atys (sooty mangabey)
Lineage: Eukaryota; Metazoa; Chordata; Mammalia; Primates; Cercopithecidae
Exons: 2
Source: RefSeq, a predicted model, not a curated record
UGGCUUGCAGCCACAGGGAGGCGUUUUCAGGGCCCACCUGGAGUUGGAUGACAUUGUUUUCCUUUGUCCUGACACCAGAAAGGAAACUGGCAUGGCCACUCUGAACAUUUUUUCUUCUUUGGCAUUUGGUUGCCUUUUUUCCCUCCUCCAUUGGCAAUAGUUCUAUCAGGUUCUCAGUCAAAAUAACGCAUUGCCCAAGCACAAACGUGACCCUCGCUGUGUCAUGGGAACACAUUGCACAGAGAACUCCAUCACACUCAAACACCAGCCAUGCCUUGCCAGCCCUGGUGGACUUGAAGUUUGGAUGAGAUUUAAGUUUGUGGAGCAGCUCAGCUCUGGGAGCGUGGUAAGAGUGGGAUCUAGAGAGAUGGGAGUUCCUCCUGCAAACGUGCUCUUGAGCCUAUCUUGAGGUCCGUAACCAUGCUCAGCCACAGUGGCCUCUGCAGGUUGAGGAAGGAUUCUCUGUCCUUCCAGAAGCUUCUCUCUAGUUUCAAAUGUCGUACCCAAAUGAAGAAAGGAAUGCUUCCUUUGAAAUUGAUGCCAUCCUUGGAGCCACCACACUGAGUGCGGGCCUCUUGCACCCCCAUGCAGGGUCCUGCUUUGCUCUUCCUGUCUUCCCUGCUGCAAGACCUCAGGGAAUGCCCAUGGACCGGGCACUUCCUGAGCAGGUUUUCACUAAAAGAAACACUCAGCAAAAUAAAGAAAGUUCCUAGCGUACCGUCCAGGCCUACCUAAUGUUUCCUGAGGACAAUAGAAGGCAUCAUUUGUUUUCAGAGCAUAAUUUUAUUAUAUCUUAAUGCAAGAAAAGGAGGAGAUUGCUCUUAAAGGGAUGCUCAUCUUAACCAAACCCAAGACAGCGAUGUCUAGAACAAGAAAGCUGACAUGUUGAUCUGUGCUCAAACCAGAGUUGAGCUGGCUCCGAGAGCUUCUGGUCUCCAGGAUCCACAUGGCCUUUGGAAACCAAAGCUCAAUUCCAGGGGCUCAGGGCCAGAGAAUCAAGCAAACGUGCUGUUUACAGAAACUGAAAUAAUUCACUCAUUCAACAAAUAUUAGUCAGCACCUACUCUGGUCUAGCAACUGUUUUCAGGGCUGUGACCAAGACAGACAACACCUUUGUCGAGCAUGGAGCUUAAGUUCUAGUUAGUCGUAGAUUCUGGGAUUGAAUCCCUAGAAAAAUGAAGAAGGCAAAUGUCAAAUAGUAACUGUCAGAAAGGAAACACAACAGGCGCGUGUGUUGCAGGAGCUGGGAAAGGCUGAGGCCCGGAUGACCCGAAGGCCCGUCCAUGUGCAGGCCAGGAAGAGUGCUCCAUGCAGAAGCACAGCAGGUGCAAAGGCCUUGAACUGGGGAUGAGGGUGGCUCAAGGAUGCGAUCAAGUUCAACUCACAAAGGGGGAGCUGAUUGUGAAAUUCAAAGGAGAUCCUUGUAGCUUCGAAGGCCGGACCAUGGUCUGAGACAGAGCAGAGAAUCAGCAGAUGGAACAGGUUAAUAAAACAAUGGACUGAAAUGUUCAGGAUUCCUCUGGUUGUUCUAUGUGAUUUCCCAUGGCUGUCUCACCCCUCAAAGCUGUUGGCAUGGUGCCCGGACUGCUGACUGCACUCAGAUACAUGUUAACAAAUGGUCGCGGCACUGCAGAAAGCAGAGUGGAGUGGAGUGGACAGCCCUGCAGUGGCUAAAUACUUUUGUUAGAAUGCAAGUGUCUGUAGCCACAGAUGAUCAGCUUUCUCCAUUCACCAAGAUGGCCCGUGCAGGCCUUGGCUUCCUGGGGAGAAUUAGUUUUCAUCUCUGACUUAGACCUUUUUUUGUUAAGGAACAACACAUGUCACAUAAAACUUUUUUUUGACAUGACAAUACCUGGAAUAAUUAGAUACAUAAAGAACAAUGAGGGAGCUGCGCUUUCCUGAGUGUAUUUUGAGCAGUUAUUACCCACCAUCAGUGCCUUUCAAAUGUCACUUGUGGAGUGUUCGUCUGUUUGUCGUGAAGCACAAAACUUUUUCUCUAUUCUUUGCCAAAGUAGUUGAGAGCAUUUUAAAUCUCUGUGUUGAACUAUUGCAAGUCACUCCAAAAUUAAAGUGCUCAAAACCUUUAUUUUGAAAAGCCCGAACGGUGCCCAUCAAAGCAGCACAGAGAACACUGUCUUUUCAGUACUCACCCAGCUCAUUCCUCUGGAAAUGUCAGAUAUGCUCUCAUUUAAAUAAUUUGACAGCUCACAAGAAGCCAUCUGAUGAGUAUUGCAUUCAAUUGUUAAAAGUACAACAAAAAGAGUCAAGAAGUUUUUCUUCCAAAGAAUUUAUCAUUAAUUCACACAAGCUACUUUAUAUGUGGUCGCCUACUAAAUGCAAUUAUUUAAUUUCUCUGUUUCUUUCUCUCUCCCUCUCCUUCUCUUUUUCUGCAAGUGGAGGCUGCGAAGACCCAUUUUAAUAUAAAGGACACUUGGGCUUUUCACCUGAAAUGAAAAAACAAUGCAUUAAGGCUGUUAAGUAGGCUUCACACAUUCAAUAUGUUUGGAGGAAUGUCUACACACAGAAGUGUUUGACACAUAUAGAAAAAUACAUGUAUUUUAAAGACAUGCUUGACUCAAAGCACCCGAACAUUUUAUUUACCACCAUGAGGCAGCUCAUUGAAAAUCCAGCCUGGCCUGUUUUGUGACUGCACACAUUCCGUUUGGUUAAAGCAGCACUCAGUGUGCAGGGGUGGUUGUGUACCUCCUUAAACUUGUGUCCUGGACGUUGAAUUUGACCGGAUAGAAAUGAACACGAGCUCCUGAAAGAUGAGGUGAUCGCCACUCAUCUUGUUCCCAGGAUGUUCCAGACGUGGGGAGACAAACGCUAGGCUUGUUGUGGUUUGCAGUGUCUCAGGUUGAAUGGACGUUGCAGGUCUAGGGGAUGGAUACCCAGGGAUACAAGGGAGUCAGGGGCUCCCUUACAGCUGUUCCCAUGCCUAUCAUUCAUUUAGCUCUUUAGCCUCUACUAUGUCUUCCUCUUCUACUACUUUCUGUCUUUGGGUUAAAAUGUGGAGAGCUGACUUGAGUGAGUAGCACACUCUCAUGCUCGGGCCAGCCCUCCACAUCAUGAGUGGGCUGCAGCCACCCCAGGCUUCUGGGAAUAAGGUGGGGUACGGGAAGCAAUUAAGAAAUUGCUUUGCUGACACAGCCCACUUGCACAGAGCACCUUGUCUCUGAGGGAACGGCUGUCCUCUGUUGGGGAAAAUCGGGCCCAGCGAGCCUGACUUGCUGUGCACAUUUGGGAUGUGGCCGGAGCCUCAGCAUCUACUUGGGAGGGUGUGUACCGGCUGCCGUGUUUCCUUUCGGCAGGCUUAAAUUCAUUUCUUCAGAUGUUCCCGUUAGUUAACAAUGAUUGAUAGAGUAAAGACAUUAUUAAUAAAAAUUAGGCACCCAGCUAGCGAAUGGACUUUUGUUCGUGCCUCAGCACUCAGCGAAGGGCAGAUGAAAAAGGUGUUUGCAGCAGCAUGCAAUUAGAAUGAGUCGGGCCAGGUGGAAAAUGAACUCGGCCAUUCAUCAAAGCUGUCAGGACGGGUCUCUCACCAGAAGUGUUUACCAGUGUUCACCACGAGCUUCCGAGUUCUGCUAAUGGGAGCUCGUUCGACUGUAACUCAGAGGACUUGGAAAACGACUUGGGUGACUUAGCAUACCUAUUUUACUGAAUUCGCCUAAGUGUGACUCUUGAUGCUGACACUUAUGAGAAUGCACAGUGGGACUUCCAGAAAAAUUACCAGUGCAGUUCAGAAAAAUGCCUCCGUGAGGGCGGGAGCCUUUGAGGAAGUCCAGGUGGCAUGUGCUCUGGGGAGGGGAGGAAGCAAGAGGCACAGCGGCGUCAGGAGUGAAAAACGAGCCGCUUAUUCCACACACAUAAUAACAUAAAUCUGAUUCAAAAAAGUGAGAGACAAGAGGAGUCGACAGGAAAGCAUAUGGAAAAAGUUAAAUAAAAACCCAAGCUGCUAUCACCAUUA